This 376-nucleotide unclassified non-coding RNA is filed under the name uncultured bacterium. Its description in RNAcentral is "contains 16S-23S intergenic spacer region". The record is from RNAcentral.
UCCGGUUUGGCACCGGCAGUCCUCCCAGAGUCCUCGGCAUAACCCGGUAGCAACUGGGAGCGGGGGUUGCGCUCGUUGCGGCACUUAAGCCAACACCUCACGGCACGAGCUGACGACAGCCAUGCAGCACCUGUGCUGGGCCCUUACGGACACGGGCUUUCACCCGCUUUACCCAGCAUGUCAAGCCCAGGUAAGGCUCUUCGCGUUGCGUCGAAUUAAACCACAUGCUCCGCUGCUUGUGCGGGUCCCCGUCAAUUCCUUUGAGUUUUAGCCUUGCGGCCGUACUCCCCAGGCGGGGCACUUAAUGCGUUAGCGCCGGCACGGGAGGAGUCGACACCUCCCACACCUAGUGCCCAUCGUUUACGGCGUGGACUAC